RNAcentral lists this ribosomal RNA (469 nucleotides) under uncultured bacterium. Its description in RNAcentral is "partial 16S ribosomal RNA". It matches the Rfam family "Bacterial small subunit ribosomal RNA", at positions 28 to 507 of the family's 1533-position model. The record is from RNAcentral.
GACGAACGCUGGCGGCGUGCUUAACACAUGCAAGUCGAACGGAAAGGCCCUGCUUGCAGGGUGCUCGAGUGGCGAACGGGUGAGUAACACGUGGGUGAUCUGCCCCUUACUUUGGGAUAAGCCUGGGAAACUGGGUCUAAUACUGGAUAGGACCAUGCUGUAGGUGGUGUGGUGGAAAGAUUAGUUUCGGUAAGGGAUGAGCUCGCGGCCUAUCAGCUUGUUGGUGGGGUAAUGGCCUACCAAGGCGUCGACGGGUAGCCGGCCUGAGAGGGUGGACGGCCACAUUGGGACUGAGAUACGGCCCAGACUCCUACGGGAGGCAGCAGUGGGGAAUAUUGCACAAUGGGCGCAAGCCUGAUGCAGCGACGCCGCGUGGGGGAUGACGGCCUUCGGGUUGUAAACUCCUCUCAGCCAUGACGAAGCCCUUGUGGUGACGGUAGUGGUAGAAGAAGCACCGGCUAACUACGUG